GCGAACGCUGGCGGCAGGCCUAAUACAUGCAAGUCGAGCGGUCCCUUCGGGGGCAGCGGCGGACGGGUGAGUAACGCGUGGGAACGUGCCCUUUGGUACGGAACAACUGAGGGAAACUUCAGCUAAUACCGUAUGUGCCCUUCGGGGGAAAGAUUUAUCGCCAUUGGAGCGGCCCGCGUUAGAUUAGCUAGUUGGUAGGGUAAAGGCCUACCAAGGCGACGAUCUAUAGCUGGUCUGAGAGGAUGAUCAGCCACACUGGGACUGAGACACGGCCCAGACUCCUACGGGAGGCAGCAGUAGGGAAUCUUGCGCAAUGGGCGAAAGCCUGACGCAGCCAUGCCGCGUGAAUGAUGAAGGUCUUAGGAUUGUAAAAUUCUUUCACCGGGGACGAUAAUGACGGUACCCGGAGAAGAAGCCCCGGCUAACUUCGUGCCAGCAGCCGCAGUAA
Molecule: ribosomal RNA, 448 nt
Filed under: uncultured bacterium
Lineage: Bacteria
Description: partial 16S ribosomal RNA
Rfam family: Bacterial small subunit ribosomal RNA
Source: RNAcentral